UGAAACUGUUGAUCUUGAGGGCAGGAGAGGAAAGUGGAAUUCCUGGUGUAGCGGUGAAAUGCGUAGAAAUCAGGAGGAACACCGGUGGCGAAGGCGACUUUCUGGACUGCCCCUGACGCUG
This 121-nucleotide ribosomal RNA is filed under the name uncultured bacterium. RNAcentral describes it as "partial 16S ribosomal RNA". It matches the Rfam family "Bacterial small subunit ribosomal RNA", at positions 628 to 748 of the family's 1533-position model. The record is from RNAcentral.